GACGAACGCUGGCGGCGUGCUUAACACAUGCAAGUCGAACGGAAAGGCCCUGCUUUUGUGGGGUGCUCGAGUGGCGAACGGGUGAGUAACACGUGAGUAACCUGCCCUUGACUUUGGGAUAACUUCAGGAAACUGGGGCUAAUACCGGGUAGGAGCUACUGCUGCAUGGUGGGGGUUGGAAAGUUUCGGCGGUUGGGGCUGGACUCGCGGCUUAUCAGCUUGUUGGUGGGGUAGUGGCUUACCAAGGCUAUGACGGGUAGCCGGCCUGAGAGGGUGACCGGCGACAUUGGGACUGAGAUAGGGCCCAGACUCCUACGGGAGGCAGCAGUGGGGAAUAUUGCACAAUGGGCGGAAGCCUGAUGCAGCAACGCCGCGUGCGGGAUGACGGCCUUCGGGUUGUAAACCGCUUUCGCCUGUGACGAAGCGUGAGUGACGGUAAUGGGUAAAGAAGCACCGGCUAACUACGUG
RNAcentral lists this ribosomal RNA (468 nucleotides) under uncultured bacterium. RNAcentral's name for it is "partial 16S ribosomal RNA". It matches the Rfam family "Bacterial small subunit ribosomal RNA", at positions 28 to 507 of the family's 1533-position model. The record is from RNAcentral.